UGAGGAUGCUGCUCGCUGCUGCUGAUGGAGGCAGGAGGAUGCUGAAAGUGGGGCUGCUGCCCCCCUGCAGCUGCCCUGACCGGAGGGAUUUCCACCAUGGUGCAAGCAAUGGAAUCUCCAAACUAAGCCAGGAGUGUGAGCAAUGAAGAUAUGAGAAUACAAAAAUCCAGUCUAAGUAUUGCAACUAAACCAGCAUGAAACUCAGAGAAGUUUGGGUCCAAGACUCAGGUGGAAUGGAAGCUAUCAGUGAUGCUGCCUUUGGAUGGCAACUGGACGAAACUAAUAUCACAUAGGAAUGGAAAUAAAUUUGGAGUCUAUUCCCUCCCUCUGGCCCAAUACUGAAGCAGCGAAGGGAGAUUGCGCCAUUGAAGUAGGGGAAAUGUUUAUACUUUAUUCUAGCUAUAUCUUUGAAGUAAAUAUUCCUUUGUAAAAGUUAAAAUAGUGACAUAAAUAAUAUAUCCCAGUUCUUAUACAUACUACCUAAGUGGUUGGGUUGGUUUCAAAAUAUUUAUGGCUUUGGACUCCCCCACCCCCAGUUAUAUUUGAAUACUUUGGACUAUUUGGGCAAAUUGUGAUUGGGAAUGAGAAUUUUGGAUUGGGAAUAGAGGUGAGCUUGAAUUAUAGCCCGCUAUUCUUUCAUAUCUCAUUCGGUGGCUCUCCUUUGGUUAUGAUAGCAGCAACAAAAGGGGCAAAAAAGUCACUCAUCCUUAUCUGAAACAUGAGGAAAAUAACAUUUAUAUUAUCUAUCUAGAGUGGCAAGACAAAGGGACUAUCUUUGUAUGCUCUAGGAAUGGAAUUAUAUUCUAUUUUAGAGGUGUUAAACAAAGCUGAUUACAUGCCGUGUCUUGUCAUCCCUGUGAUCAAAGGGAAGGGAGCUAUCUUUUUAGUUAUCCAAAUAAUUACUCAGUAACAUGAUGGAGGGGGCAGCUAGGUGGUAUACAGUGGAUAAGAUACCAGAACUGGAGUCAGAAAGUCUCAUCUUUUUUGAAUUCAAAACCAGCAUCAGAUCCGUAAUGCUAGGCAAGUCACUUAACCCUGUUUACCUCAGGUUCCUUAUUUGUAAAAAUGAACUAGAGAAGGAGAUGGCAAAACACUCCAGAUCUUUGCUGAGAAACCUUCAAACAGGGUCCCAAAGAAUCAGACACAAUUGACAUGAUUGAACAAUAUGGUGGAGAAGCAAGGCUGGUUAGAAAUGAAAUUGGCUUUGGAGACCAAGCAAAUGAACUCAUUCCAGAAAACCUAGCUAGAUGAAUUUGGGAUGGGCAUAGGAGAUGAGCAUCAACUGUAGUCCACUUUUCUUUCUUAUCUCACUUGGCUGCUCUCCUUUGGAUUUCUCCACUAUGCCUCUAGAAAGAGUCUGGUGGUCUAAGGGAAAAGGGAGCAGGUUAUGAUGGCAGCAGCAGAAGAGGCAAAGAGGGUCGAUUGAACCUUAUCACCCUGUUAAACCAUGCCAGCUUUGCAAGGUCCUCAUCCCUCAUCAAUGCCCUCUGCCUUGGGACCCUUCUGAUUGGAGGCGCCCUCCUGAUGCCCAAGUCAAGCAGCUUUUCAUUUCUCCCCACUUCUACUACUUUUGUGUCCCACAUGCCACCAACUCCUCCUCUCCCCCAUUAAAUUAUAAGCAAUUUAUAUUCCCAGUGCUUAGCACAGUGUCUGGAACAUAGUAGGUACCUAAUAUAUGUUUAUUGAUGACUCUUUUUUUUUAAAGAGGUAUGAAGUAGCUGAAUUUUCCAGGCUCAUAGAGAAUGGGGAACUGAACUAGGUUCUGGAACUAUAAUUAAUAAAUGAUUUAGAAAAUUUAAGUAUCA
Molecule: long non-coding RNA, 1805 nt
Organism: Antechinus flavipes (yellow-footed antechinus)
Lineage: Eukaryota; Metazoa; Chordata; Mammalia; Dasyuromorphia; Dasyuridae
Exons: 2
Source: RefSeq, a predicted model, not a curated record